UAACCCAAACUAAAUCAAACAUAUGCAUUGGUAUACCUACCAUGUGUGUUACGGAUUAUAUGUUUUGAGUUUUUAAUUAUCAUCACUGUAUUUGAAUGCUAUAAAUUUCAGAUGUUGCUUUUUUGAAUUUGAUAUGUAUUGUAUACUUUUUUUUCAGUUUAAGUAUUAAAUUUUCCAUGUUUAGACUUUUAAUUAUGUAUUUUACUUGAGUAUAAUCCGAACCGAUCUAAAUAACAUGAACUCAAUCGAUAUAUGAUUAUUUUAUGGGCUUUAGGAUAUAAUACAAAA
This 288-nucleotide long non-coding RNA is filed under the name Brassica napus (rape). RNAcentral's name for it is "long non-coding RNA (BNAP_LNC001315)". Lineage: Eukaryota; Viridiplantae; Streptophyta; Magnoliopsida; Brassicales; Brassicaceae. The record is from RNAcentral.